GUGGAGGAUUGCAGAAGAACCAUGGGGUUAAUGAUGGUGGCAUCCCCUUUGAGACGCUCAGCCAGCAAGUGUCUCAGAAGGGCAAGGACAAGAGCAUCAGUGAACAAUAUCUGGGAAAAAAGGAAUCUCUCACUACUAUCUACAGUGAGGUCUGUUAUCCAGACCAGACCAUGGAGAUCAUUUGAUUGGAGGAAGCAGGAGGAUCUGGCACUCCCAGGACACCUGCAUUCUGAGCCUAAGUCCUGCAGACCCCUGCCUUUCCCAGCUCUGGUUCAGUUCCAGCUUCCCCUUGUGUGUGUUACUCUGACCUCAUAGCUACAUUUCUAGAGGGUAAACAUGGCCUGGUUGUACUCUGUGACACUUCCCAAGCUGCCCUUACACUCGGGCAAGGACUAUUCUCCAUCAUUGAGAUGGCUCCUGACCCCUGUUCUUCAUAAGCCUUCCCAAGAGGAGCCUGUCUGAUUGAGCAGGUGUCAAGUCCCCACCACCUCUGCCGUCACUGGUGUGUGUACUUCUGACGACACAAGCCCAGACACAGGGACUGUGCAGAGGUGCUGACUGUGCUGCAGAGGAGGGUGGUGGGACCUGGCUUCUGGAUGCUGAGUUGGAGGACAGCGUGGAUGGAUAGAAACCAAUAAAGGAAAAGGCCAAGGCAAAU
Molecule: long non-coding RNA, 658 nt
Filed under: Saimiri boliviensis boliviensis (Bolivian squirrel monkey)
Lineage: Eukaryota; Metazoa; Chordata; Mammalia; Primates; Cebidae
Description: lncRNA (ENSSBOG00000036704.1)
Source: RNAcentral